GGCGAGUGAGCGGCAACAGCUCAAAUUUGAAAUCUGGCGCAAGCCCGAGUUGUAAUUUGUAGAGGAUGUUUCUGGCGACGCGCCUUCCGAGUUCCCUGGAACGGGACGCCAUAGAGGGUGAGAGCCCCGUACGGUUGNAUGNCCUANCCUCUGUGAAACUCCUUCGACGAGUCGAGUAGUUUGGGAAUGCUGCUCUAAAUGGGAGGUAUACGUCUUCUAAAGCUAAAUACCGGCCAGAGACCGAUAGCGCACAAGUAGAGUGAUCGAAAGAUGAAAAGCACUUUGAAAAGAGGGUUAAAAAGUACGUGAAAUUGUUGAAAGGGAAGCGUUCAUGACCAGACUUGGGCAGGUUGAUCAUCCGUGGUUCUCCGNGGGGGCACUCUGCCUGCCCAGGCCAGCAUCAGUUCGCCCCGGGGGANAANGGCUUUGGGAAUGUGGCUCCCUCGGGAGUGUUAUAGCCCACUGCGUAAUACCCUGGGGUGGACUGAGGUUCGNGCUCUGCAAGGAUGCUGGC
Molecule: ribosomal RNA, 514 nt
Filed under: soil fungal sp. DM081
Lineage: Eukaryota; Fungi
Description: eukaryotic LSU rRNA
Rfam family: Eukaryotic large subunit ribosomal RNA
Source: RNAcentral